RNAcentral lists this ribosomal RNA (468 nucleotides) under uncultured bacterium. RNAcentral describes it as "partial 16S ribosomal RNA". It matches the Rfam family "Bacterial small subunit ribosomal RNA", at positions 28 to 507 of the family's 1533-position model. The record is from RNAcentral.
GACGAACGCUGGCUGCGGGCUUAACACAUGCAAGUCGAACGGAAAGGCCCUGCUUGUGUGCGAUGCUUGAGGGGCGAAGGGGUGAGGAACAGUAAAGUAAACUGCCCCUGACCUUGGGAUAGGUAUAGGACACUGGGAGUAAUACCGGAUAGGAGCGUCGGCUGCAUGGGGGGGGUUGGAAAGUUGCGGCGGUUGGGGAUGGACGCGCGGCUAUUCAGCUGGUUGGUCGGGUAGUGGCUUAACAAGGCUUUGACGGGUAGCCUGCCUGAGAGGGUGACCGGCCACAUUGCGACUGAGAUACGGCCCGGAGCCGUACGGGAGGCAGCAGUGGGGGAUUUUGCCCGAUGGGGGGAAGUCUCGUGCAGGAACGCCGCGUGCGGGAUGAUGGCCUUCUUGUUGGAGGCCGCUUUGUCCUGUGCCGGUGGGUGAGUGACGGUACUGGAUAAAGAAGCACCGGCUAACUCCGUG